Molecule: long non-coding RNA, 342 nt
Organism: Neopsephotus bourkii (Bourke's parrot)
Lineage: Eukaryota; Metazoa; Chordata; Aves; Psittaciformes; Psittacidae
Exons: 2
Source: RefSeq, a predicted model, not a curated record
CCGCUUCUCUCCCGCAGCAGCGGCGGGACCCAGGGGCAGGAGCAGCUGUGGGGCAGCGGCAGAGGAGUGGGCUUUAGAAAUCGGAGCAUCACAAGCACAUGGAAAAUAUUUCCCAGCUACAGUGUGAAGAAACUAAGCAGGAGGGACUUUUCCAAAUCACCAUCUGCCUAAGGGAAGAGACAGCACAGAGCUGCACUAUUCCUGGACCAAAGAAAGGACCAGUUAGUUACCAGGUCUUCCUUGCUCUCCGCAGAAAGUUAUCACAGCCCAUCUCAGGAGGUUUGCUCCUGCACUGCCUUGUUAAUGCUACCAGUGGCUUUAAUAAAGGCAUAAGCAAAUUUC